This 81-nucleotide small nucleolar RNA is filed under the name Cavia porcellus (domestic guinea pig). RNAcentral's name for it is "Small nucleolar RNA U3". It matches the Rfam family "Small nucleolar RNA U3", at positions 1 to 82 of the family's 219-position model. Rfam says of the family: Small nucleolar RNAs (snoRNAs) are involved in the processing and modification of rRNA in the nucleolus. The record is from Rfam by way of RNAcentral. Lineage: Eukaryota; Metazoa; Chordata; Mammalia; Rodentia; Caviidae.
GAGGCUAUACUUUCAGGGAUCAUUUCUAUAGUAUGUUGCUAGAGAAGUUUCUCUGAGUGUGUAGAGUACCAAUGAGCAUGC